AUAUUUAAGUUCUUUGCUCAUACCACAGCAAACGUAUUCACAAAUGUUUUGAAUGAGCUUUUCUGCAAACAGAACAUUUUUUUAAAAGAUCCUGCUUCUCUAAGUCUUGAUUUUCUAGGUAACAAACUUUUAUGUUAUGCAAUGGCUUCAGUAACAUUGGACUGAUUUUGUUCUAAUUAGCAGUGUUGUAGAACAACGCUGAAGAGCCAGCCAGCACCCCACCUCUAAAACAUCCAGAUCCCAAUAUCAGACCCAUGGAGCACCAGUGACAGAAGGGAAAUGCAAAAACAAACAGUUAUUAAAUCAGAAGUAAAGAGGCUGUUUGGAAGACGCAGAUAGAUGAAACUGGAGACAAGGAUGUGGACUGGAUUCAUCUGGCUCAGGACAGAUUCUUGCAAACAAGAAUCACCUACAAGACUACAAUCUGCAACUCUGCAAUACAGACUGAUGGUGAUAGGGCUUCAUAUUUCAAGAUAUAAAACAUUUUAUUCAUGUAAUAUGGAUAAGAUAAAAAAUGACAAUGACUCUCAUAUGA
Molecule: long non-coding RNA, 535 nt
Organism: Zootermopsis nevadensis
Lineage: Eukaryota; Metazoa; Arthropoda; Insecta; Blattodea; Termopsidae
Source: RefSeq, a predicted model, not a curated record